AGUUUACAUAGUUCCAAGGAACUACACAGUGCUCCAGGUUAGCUUUAGUAUAACAAUGGCCACCUAUUAAUUUCUGAAUUAGAAAUUAUAUUCAUCAGGAUGUGCAAACAAAAUUCCAAGUUAGAAGUUAAUGCUGAAGUGGUGUAGUUUAAGCAACACGAUACAGAAACUUUUUGUCAUGAAUAACUGUAUACAAAACAUAACAGUAUUAAAAUACAUAUCUUCAUAAAAAUAGUCACGACGCUUCGUAUCUAAAUAAGACAUUUUUAGAAAGAUGGUAUGAAAUACUUAUUAUACAAAAGCACUUUCUUGUAGCAGGAUCACAAGGUCAUGUGUCUUUAAAAAUUCCAUCCAAGCACUUAAAAGUAGAUUUCUUUGAUAACUGAUCCACUUGUCAUGUAAAAGCGUAUGCUGUGCAUACACCAUAGCAUUAAGUUUAUUCUACUUGAAAUCUAAGUAUAACACUGCAUGUAGAGCAGCUGAGUCCUAAUAUACCACUGAAUCUUGCUCGAGAAGAUAAACAUCACAAUUGUUUCUUAGUACAGAAAAUUAGUUUUUUAUGCACGUCUGCUAUAUGCAUAUACCAAAAAUAACGUCCCUCUACAAUCUUCCCUUGCCACAGUUUGACCUCUCCAUAGGCUUUUGUCAGCUAAAGUCAGCAUCCUCUCCUCCCCACCCCAUUAGCUCCUCACUGACCCUACUGCUGUAAGUAAAAAUUAAAACCUAAAAAAUCAAAAAUAUAUAUUUAUAAAAAUUUCUGACAGAAGCUGACAGCGGUCUCCAGCUGAAACAGUCUGCAUAUCAGCUAACUACUGCAAUCACUGAUGUUAAACCUGUAUUAGAACAUCAGUCUAUUCACUGUGAUGAAUACCAUUUAUACUAGUGAGCCACUUUAAAUCCUGAAUGUCAGCAGUUUAAAACCACAAAUUGGUAUACAGUUACUUGAUAUUCAUUUAAGGCAUGUGAGUAAAAGCACCCUAAUUAACUAAGAUCAAAUGGAAGCAAUUUCUCUUCAGGAAACAUUUGUGAACUGCCUACUCUUCUUUAAAGAUGCUAAAUUAAUAUAGUCUUUGGAAAGAGGAUCAGAAGGUGGAAGGAAGAUAUAGUUAAGAACCAUUGUGAUUAUUUCAGCUGUCCCUGAAACAGUUUGAUAAGCUGUUGAUGGUUUAGCAGUAAAAUACCCCAGUAUAACAUGUACUGACCAAGUCACACAUUAUGCCAGUCUGGUUUUUUAAAAAAGGAAAGCAAUCAGAUACUACAUCAACAGGACAGUACAGGAUCAAUAUUGCUUACCCCUGAGUUAACAGCAUUGGGUAUAGCAGCACCGAUUAGAAAACAUUCUGCAGUGCCAGCACUGCACUGUGGUCCUACACUGUGGAAUUGCUUCACAUGCCCACAGAUUUUUCUUUAAGAGCACUUAUUGCAAACAUUAUUAGACACAGGAAUUCCUUUAGUUGCACUGGUACUUAAGUGAGAAAAACAGUGAGAAUGUUACAGUGGACCAUACCGGUAGAGAAGUCCAUUUGUAGUGUUACUGUACUGUUUAGAUCUUUGUCCCGAACUUCGUAAGCCACUGUCUUCUGUCAUACUACAUCCACCUGUUUCCUGCACACACACACACACACACACACACACACACAGAAAUCACGCUGUGCCAGUUUUGAGCAAGAUGUCCUGCAGGUCAUCUGGCAGUGCGAGUAUGAUAUCACGGAUGUGCGUCUGCAGCUUUUUCAGUGUAUCAGUUUUCACAGGAAGAUGUUCUCUGUCAGCCUGCAGCUGCAAAAGGUACAACAGAGCAUGACUUCUGCCAAAAAUGCCAGCUUACCUCAAAACACACCCAAAUGACAUAUUAGCAAAUGCAGAAAAUGAAUUCCUCUUUUUUUAAUAAAGUAAAAUGUGACCCGCUUGGUCUGGUCAGGUUUUCUCAAUAUUCACCUACCAGCAUGAACCAAUGCUCAGCUGGACUUUCAGCAAUCACAGUAAAGUUUGGUUCUCUGCUUCUCUGAGCAUCCAGCCUUGCUCCCACCCAAAGCAGUCACAGAGUUCUAAGGGGUUUUAACAAAUCAAGAUCUGUGCAAUGCUAACACAACUGGCUGAGCUGAGAAACUGGCUAACUUCUCAGGUUGAAGUGUUUUGCUUUAGAAUAAUCAAAAUGACUGAUUUAUGGAACCUAGAUCUCAAAAAACAUUUUCAUUAAGUACCUGUAAACUCAACUAUUUAAUACCUCUACCCUGUUUUUUAACCAUUUUUAGCCAUAUUCAAUUCACUUACCAGUUUAUUCUUUAACUUCAAGACCAGAUCGACUGUUUCUACUUCAGUAUGCUUCUGACUCCAGAAAACCAAAUUCUAACAAAAGUAAAAAUUAAACACUGAUGUAUUUAUUGUCUAUUUGCUGUGGUACCCACUCAGUUCAUACCUUAAAAGUUGUAACACGCUUUGAGCUGUGAUAUAGUUGUGAGAAAUAAAACAUCAAGGAUGGAAAUUGAAUGAGAUAACAUUAUAAAUAUGAUGAAAAAAGUAAAAUUGAAAAUAUUAUUUCCAACCAAAAAAAUACUAGAGAUGUUUUACACGUGAUCAAUCAUUAUACAAAAGUAAACUUCAUUUCAUAUUGCCCUUUUUUUUAAUGUUAGUCCUAGGCUGUACUUGGUUAGCUAACUCAUGUUUUGCCAGAACGUACUUGACAAAAUUCUUGACAUUUUUAUGUUUAACCAAUGGAUGCAGCAGGAAUUGAUAACCAUAACCACCCAUUUUUCUAACCUCAUUACAGAGUGCUUCUAAAUGAAGUGCCUCCAACUUCUGCGUCAUUUCUUUUUGCCGGCUUCUAAACCAGCCAUCAAAGUUUGGUGAUUUCAAAAAAUGCCUGAA
Molecule: long non-coding RNA, 2865 nt
Filed under: Gallus gallus (chicken)
Lineage: Eukaryota; Metazoa; Chordata; Aves; Galliformes; Phasianidae
Description: long non-coding RNA NONGGAT002154
Source: RNAcentral